CUACACCCACCCUCGUGCUCUGGGUUGCUCAGAAAUUCCAAGAAAUUCCAAGUUUCCUGCUGCCUCACUGGCUGGAACAGAAUGGAAUGUGCACCACCGCUGAUAACAACAGGAGAGGCCCCAAACCACAGAGGCAGGCAGCCCCGGGGUAAAUCCUUGCUCCACCGCUUCACGCGGAAAGGUAUUGUACAAGUUACUUAGCUUUUGUCAUAGGUCGGAUUUCCUGGGAAAGAGAGUCUAGGUCUCUGAGGGUUGUGUGGAGGAGGCUAACGGGGGAGUGAGCUCAGAGACAACGACAACAUGGGGAGGGAUGCUGGGCAGAGGGAGAAGCUGUACCAUGAUGCAGUUUCAAUGGAGAUGUCCAGCAAUCCCACAGGGAGCUGCGAUGGCCCUUCAGAGUUGUCCCAGCUGAGGACAAAUGGUUAGGCUUUUGUACUUCCAUGUUGGCCAGUCACAGAUGCAGGCUGCCUUCUGAGAAAUGGUCUGGGAUGAAAGCUCUCUUUGACUGAGUCUUGGAGCAGCAGCUAGAGGUCCUGGUAGUAGGCGGAAUGAGUGCCUACAUCCUGAGGUGUAUCUGGGCAGCCCACCGUACCUGUGCCUACAUGUUCAAUAUAUCAGAGAUCAAGGAAGUCUCCUUGGCCACUCUACCUGAAAUUGCAACCCUUUAAUCUCAUAUCCCCUGUACCCCAUCUUACUUUUAUCCAUCGUAUUUAUCAUGAACUGACAUACAUUUUUUUAAAGAUUUUUUUGAUUGGACCAUUUUUAAAGUCUUCAUUGAAUUUAUUACAAUAUUGCUUCUGUUUUAUGUUUUGGUGUUUUUGGUCACGAGGCAUGUGGGAUCUUAGCUCCCCGACCAGGGAUCAAACCCGAGCUCCCUGCAUUGGAAGGUGAAGUCUUAACCACUGGACUGCCAGAAGUUAAUCCCGAAGCAUUUCUGCCCUCCACAUUUAUUGAAAGUCACUUGGAACAUUGCCUGGUGCAGACACAGAUGAGCCAUUAACCUGGGGAGCCCCAUGUUGAAGAUGAUGGAGCCAUGAGAUGGAGGAACCUGUUUCCUGGAAUCAGGAAGAGGACCACGGCUGAUCGAUGUCACCCAUUUUGGCUUUUACAUUUGUGAAGAUUUCUACUGUUUGGGACAAUACACAUUUUUGAAAUCUGUUUAUAAUAGCAGAUAAUGAUACUUUAAUUAAUGUUAUCACUUAUUAAUAAAAGGAAGAUCAAAACCUAAAUUUCAAUUAACUCAUGUUUAUGAUGAGUUGAUUUCCAGAGGAUUAAAAUUUUCUUACAAUCACUGCCUAGAGUUGUCUCUCAGAUUGUAGAGUCAGUCAGUGCCCAUGCAGCGGGAGAGAUGGAGGUUCAGUAAGGUGGGAUCAAGGGCUUCCAAAGUUCUUAUGGCCUUUCCCAAGCCAUUCCCCAGCCAGAGAACUAAUGCCUGGAAUGGAAAGGAAUGAAUAUCACCUCUGUUUUUGACCUUUAUCUCUGUCAAAAUGUAAACCCUCCAUAUCACGUUAAGCUUUUAUUUAUUAUUUAAACUGUUGUGUACAAGAAGGGUCUAAAGAACAGACAAAACUAAUACUGGCCUCUAGAUAACAUCCAUGAAGUGCAUUGAGA
This is a long non-coding RNA of Lagenorhynchus albirostris (white-beaked dolphin), 1611 nucleotides long. RefSeq lists it as uncharacterized. The transcript is spliced from 3 exons. Lineage: Eukaryota; Metazoa; Chordata; Mammalia; Artiodactyla; Delphinidae. The record is from RefSeq and is a predicted model, not a curated record.